UACGUGGGGGGCAAGCGUUGUUCGGAAUUACUGGGCGUAAAGGGCUCGUAGGCGGCCAACUAAGUCGGAUGUGAAAUCCCCAGGCUCAACCCGGGAACUGCGUCCGAUACUGGAAGGCUUGAAUUCGGGAGAGGGAUGCGGAAUUCCAGGUGUAGCGGUGAAAUGCGUAGAUAUCUGGAGGAAUACCUAUGGCGAAAGCAGGCUACUGGACCGUCACUGACUCUGAUCUGCGAAAGCUAGGGGAGCAAACAGG
This 253-nucleotide ribosomal RNA is filed under the name uncultured bacterium. RNAcentral's name for it is "partial 16S ribosomal RNA". It matches the Rfam family "Bacterial small subunit ribosomal RNA", at positions 524 to 776 of the family's 1533-position model. The record is from RNAcentral.